UACAGAGGUCCCGAGCGUUGUUCGGAUUCACUGGGCGUAAAGGGUGCGCAGGCGGUCGUGUGUGUCAGGUGUGAAAUCCCGGAGCUUAACUCCGGAACUGCGCCUGAAACUACACGACUAGAGCAUUGGAGAGGGAAGUGGAAUUCAUGGUGUAGCAGUGAAAUGCGUAGAUAUCAUGAGGAACACCAGAGGCGAAGGCGACUUCCUGGACAAUUGCUGACGCUCAGGCACGAAAGCAUGGGGAGCAAAAGGG
Molecule: ribosomal RNA, 253 nt
Filed under: uncultured bacterium
Lineage: Bacteria
Description: partial 16S ribosomal RNA
Rfam family: Bacterial small subunit ribosomal RNA
Source: RNAcentral